Molecule: long non-coding RNA, 702 nt
Filed under: Mustela putorius furo (domestic ferret)
Lineage: Eukaryota; Metazoa; Chordata; Mammalia; Carnivora; Mustelidae
Description: lncRNA (ENSMPUG00000029712.1)
Source: RNAcentral
GAGUUUCCACUGCAGCUCUGGGGGGAAAAUUGCGGCUUCAUUUAAGGUUGUCCUGAAUUCCAUCAUGCUUAUAUUUCCACUCCACUCCAAGCUGAGCUUAUAUUUGGCACUCAUUAAAAAUUGGGAAAUCCAGAAACUUUCUUUUCUUCUGAUGUCAAAAGCUGCUGAUUCUUCCGCGUCUGCUAUUUUGCCGUGGGUAUCUUCGACAAGGGGCCUUAGGAAGCUGACCAGCAGAGCACAGACUUUCAGCAGAUUAAUUUCUACGGAGGUGUUAACGGAUGCCGCACCACUGAUAAUGCAGUAGCUGAUAAAGGCGAAUGGACCCAGCCGGACUUGUCCUGCCGGCUCUUCCACCACAUCCACAAAGAAGCUUCCAAACAGGGAUCCCAGGACUCUGGGAUCAGGACCAAAGCGGAAGGUAGUCACUUAACAGACUGAGUCACCCAGGUGUCCCAAUGCAAUCUUUUCUUAAAAGCGUUCUUUGUGUCUGGGGUUGGCUGGGUGGCUCAGCCGUACAAGCUUCUGACUCUUGGUUUCUGCUCAGGUCAUGAUCUCAACAUUGUGAGAUCAAACCCCAUGUCUGGCUCUAUGCUUGGUCAGAAUCUGCUUCAGAUUUUUUCUCCCUCCCCCUCUGCCUCUCCCUGCUUGUGGGCACACAUUCUCUCUCUCUCUCUCUCAAAUAACUAAGUAAAAUCUUUUCUU